GUGUGGCGGACUGGAGAAGAAUGAUACAUGCUGAUAAGCAUAUUUAUUCAAAUCACUCGUAAAAUAUUGAUUACAAAUAUUGACUGGGCUUUAUCUUCAUCUGCAAGCUCGGAUCAAUUAUUUAAUAUGAGAAAAAUAACUGAAUGAUCAUUCAAGAGACGGGAAUGUAAUUUGACAGCACGCGCACGCAGCAUCCUGUUGCUCAUCAUGCGUCUGUAGAUACACAACAACUGGCUAAAAUAGAUUAAGUUUUAAAUAGAAAUAACAUUUUUCUUGGUAGUUAAAUCAAGUGUCACUUUUUCUCCGUAAAAAUGAUGAAAAGCGUAGGAAAGCUGUUUGGGUUAAGGCGAAAAUGCGCGCCCCCAAAGUCUCGCAUUGACAAGAAAAAGACGCGCGUGAAUCCCAUUGAUAGUAUGCUGGAUGACAGCGACGAGGGCUCGUACGCCAGCACAACCAGUGUCAGUUCAGAGAGCGAAUACCAGAACUCCGAAGAGGAGCCCGGUUCCUCCGACAGCUCUUACAGAGCACGCGAGAGUGACGGGGAUGACAGCAGCGAGACGGACGAGAAAUGCACCGUGUCCCGUCAAAAGAGGAAAAGACCAGCCACCGCUCCUGCUGCUCUAGAUGACAGUUCCACUUCCAGCGAUUCUAGCGAUUCCUCCAGCGACGUCGGCGGAGAGCCGCUCAGGAGAGUAUUGCAGAGAAAACGGCUCAGGCUGCCGGAGGACUCUGAGGACGAGGCUCUGCGGGAGAAGAAGAGAGAGGCAGAGGUAAAAGAAGCCGCUGCCAAGAGAAGAGAGAGAAAGAAUAAACUCAUGGAGCUGUCGAAGAGAAGAAAGUCAGGAACCCCGCGGCGCAGGCGCAGGACGUUGGGCUCAGAAGAAGAGGAAGAGGAGAGAGAGGAGAUCAAGGAGGACAAAGUUGAAGAGCAAAGUAAAGCAGACGAUACUGGUGAAGAAUCUAGUGUGGAAGACAACGGCAAUCCUCUAAACAGCAGCGAGGAGGAAAAACUUGCUGAUAGUAGUGACAGUCUGAAGGAUUUUAUUGUGGAGGAAGAUGAACAGAAAAAUGAUAAAGAGCAGGAGGAAGAGGGGGACAACAAAGACAAGGACUUUCUCUCUCACCUUCCACGCCAGUUUAUCACAGGAUCUCAGCUCACCCACUUUCAGGUGGUGGUCAAAGCCUUGCUGAUCAAUGUACUGGACUCAACUUUCCUCAGUUCACUUUACAGUGGUGAACGAACAAAGCGAUAUGCCCAGGAGAUGAAAUCAUCAUUGCUUCAUUUUGAUGAGCGAUUGGUUCUUCCCCGCCUGGAGAACCUGAAGCAAAGGAGCCGCUGGAAAGAGCGUUACAAAGAAAGGGUAGAAUGUUAUCCCAAGUUGCGGGUUAUGAUGGCAAGGACCCAGACGAAGGGAUGUGAAGCCUGUGAGCUUCACAGAACGGGCCGCUUCACCGUGCGGCUCUCUGGCCAGUUGUACCACAACAACACCCUGCAGGAGGACCAGUUCAUGCCUGAUGAUUACCAGAGUUUCUAUGUUGGCUCUGUCUGUGCCAGUCGUACUGAGGUCUACCAUGCCCUGAAGCACUUUAAAUACCAUCUGUUUGAGAGGUGUCGUACAGCUUUAGAAGCUCAGAAGGAAAUACAGGCAGAGGAAACAGGAGAGGACAACGAACCAGUCAAGGACACAGUCAACAAGGUGUUUACCAAACUGCAGGAUGGAGGCUGGAUCAGUGAGUCUACUGUGAUGUGAGCGAUCACAAGGGGGACAUCUAUCAUUUCACUUCACAAGACAUUGAUUCAUCCACUGUGGUCGUACGGAUUACUGUCAUGAUCGCUGUGUGGUUGUUCAAGUGUCAAUUGAGCGGCACCCAUUCAGUGCCAUUAUAUGGACUCACAGAGAUGGAUUAUUUUGCUAAAAAUCUUCUUUGUGCUUAUCUGAAGAAAGAAAGUCAUAUACAUCAGGGAUGGCAUGAGGCAAUACGAGAAGUUUCAGGAACAUCUCAAUUCUGCCGAUUACUUCCAGGAAGAAAAGCUGGACUGAAAAGAUUAAACUUACCCUAAUGGCAUCAAUCUACCCUGUUUUUGUAAAUAUUUUUUUUUUUUGUUGAAGCAUGGCUAACUUUCGGGUUUUUGAAAAGUGUGUGCCCUGAAGUUUUAGCUUUUUCCUUUUAUAAUCACACUGCUGUGUAAAUUGCUUCUGCAUGAUUGUUACAAAUUCAGUACUGAGUAUAUAAUACUCAAUAUAUACAAACAAUAUUACAAGCUGCACCCCAAAAUGUAACAAAUUUGUCCAAAUCCUGAGGAUUUAAAAAUCAUGAAAAUACAGUAUUUUACCGAUUCAUUAAGAUAUGUAUGAUGUUUUUAAGCCUUCAUUUAUAAGUAAUCUUCUCAUAUUAACACUUCUGCGUAAAUGCAUCCAAGCGAUUUUAGUGUUUCAUUGUUCUUGUAAUAAACAAGAUUCAUAACCAG
This is an RNA transcript of Ctenopharyngodon idella (grass carp), 2470 nucleotides long. It is a transcript of the gene named coiled-coil domain containing 82, with no coding region annotated. Lineage: Eukaryota; Metazoa; Chordata; Actinopteri; Cypriniformes; Xenocyprididae. The transcript has 8 exons. The record is from RefSeq and is a predicted model, not a curated record.